CUGCACACCAGUAGACCUUAUCUGGUUCUUCUCAUAGCCAGGCGAGGGGGAUGGUGCGUGCUACAAAAACCUGGGGUUGCUGAGGCUGUGAUCAGCCUCAGCGUGGCUGGUUGAACUGCUAUACUCCAACAUAC
RNAcentral lists this small nucleolar RNA (134 nucleotides) under Bubo bubo (Eurasian eagle-owl). Its description in RNAcentral is "Small nucleolar RNA SNORA58 (ENSBOBG00000008190.1)". It matches the Rfam family "Small nucleolar RNA SNORA58". From Rfam's summary of the family: ACA52 is a member of the H/ACA class of snoRNA that guide the sites of modification of uridines to pseudouridines. Lineage: Eukaryota; Metazoa; Chordata; Aves; Strigiformes; Strigidae. The record is from Rfam by way of RNAcentral.